Ahaetulla prasina is the source of this 865-nucleotide long non-coding RNA. RefSeq lists it as uncharacterized. NCBI's taxonomy places the organism in Eukaryota, Metazoa, Chordata, Lepidosauria, Squamata, Colubridae. The record is from RefSeq and is a predicted model, not a curated record. The transcript is spliced from 3 exons.
UUGCUUCUCUCCUUGAUCAGUUUCCACCCAUUGCUUCUUGUUCUACCUUCAGGUGCUUUGGAGAAUAGUUUGAUUCCCUCUUCUUUGUGGCAACCCCUGAGAUAUUGGAACACUGCUAUCAUGUCUCCCCUAGUCCUUCUUUUCAUUAAACUAGACAUACCGAGUUUCUGCAACCGUUCUUCAUAUGUUUUAGCCUCCAGUCCCCUAAUCAUCUUUGUUGCUCUUCUCUGCACUCUUUCUAGAGUCUCAACAUCUUUUUUUGAAGAGAGGGGUUUCAAAUGCCACAGCAGAAAUGUAGUGCUGCCUGGUUGGAGGUCUCUUAAGAAGUGAAGAUUAGCAAAGCAUUAAGACAAAGCAUUAAGACAGACAGCAUUUUCUGCAUCACUGGACACACUCGAUGAGGGUUGAUCCAUGGCUGAAUUGUUCCUUUCCAGAUUGACAUUCAAUAAGAAAAGGGUAAGAAAAGAAUAUAUAGAACAAUAAUAGCUAAGAACGUAUUGCCUCAAAUACUAUAAAGGAAAAAAAAAUGACUGGACUGCAGAGGUCAGGUACUAUAUAUCUGUUCGUUGAGAAAUUCAGAUAUCACCUCAGUGCAACUAGGCUCUAGACAAAUGAGUGGCAGCCCAGCAUUUGAUGAAAUCUCUAGCUUCCUCCUGCAAUGAAUCCUAGUACAAUUUGUUCUCCUUUUUAGUCUUUCUUAGAUUUUUCUCAUUAGGUACCACUAGUUUUUACAUAGCUCAACAUCAUCUCUCUCCACACUCAAUACUUUAUAUCAGUUGUGAAAUCCAUUUUUUUUUAUUACCGGUUCUGUGGGUGUGGCUUGUCAUUUUUGAGGAAAUGGUAGUCAGAGAAAUCUGCUUAGCCA